RNAcentral lists this ribosomal RNA (369 nucleotides) under uncultured bacterium. RNAcentral's name for it is "bacterial SSU rRNA". It matches the Rfam family "Bacterial small subunit ribosomal RNA", at positions 539 to 907 of the family's 1533-position model. The record is from RNAcentral.
CCCUUCCCGGAUUACUGGGCGUAAGAGCUCGUAGGUGGUUUGUUGCGUCGUCUGUGAAAUUCCGGGGCUUAACUUCGGGGUGGCAGGCGAUACGGGCAUAACUAGAGUGCUGUAGGGGAGACUGGAAUUCCUGGUGUAGCGGUGGAAUGCGCAGAUAUCAGGAGGAACACCGAUGGCGAAGGCAGGUCUCUGGGCAGUAACUGACGCUGAGGAGCGAAAGCAUGGGGAGCGAACAGGAUUAGAUACCCUGGUAGUCCAUGCUGUAAACGGUGGGCGUUAGGUGUGGGGACCGGUUUUGGUUUCUGUGCCGUAGCUAACGCAUUAAGCGCCCCGCCUGGGGAGUACGGCCGCAAGGCUAAAAGUCAAAGA